RNAcentral lists this non-coding RNA (958 nucleotides) under Hylomyscus stella (Stella wood mouse). RNAcentral's name for it is "12S ribosomal RNA". It matches the Rfam family "Microsporidia small subunit ribosomal RNA". Lineage: Eukaryota; Metazoa; Chordata; Mammalia; Rodentia; Muridae. The record is from RNAcentral.
CAAAAGGUUUGGUCCUGGCCUUAUAAUUAGUUGGAGGUAAGAUUACACAUGCAAAUAUCCAUAAACCGGUGUAAAAUCCCUCAAAAAAUUGNNNNNNNNNNNNNNNNNNNNNNNNNNNNNNNNNNNNNNNNNNNGACACCUUGCCUAGCCACACCCCCACGGGACUCAGCAGUGAUAAAUAUUAAGCAAUGAACGAAAGUUUGACUAAGCUAUACCUCUUAGGGUUGGUAAAUUUCGUGCCAGCCACCGCGGUCAUACGAUUAACCCUAACUAAUUACUCUCGGCGUAAAACGUGUUAACUGAAAUAAAUAAUAAAUAGAAUUAAAAUUCAACUAAUAUGUGAAAAUCCAUUGUUAGAACUUAAAUACAGUAACGAAGGUAAUUCUAAUAUUUUCAUUAAAACACGAUAGCUAAGACCCAAACUGGGAUUAGAUACCCCACUAUGCUUAGCCCUAAACCAUAAUAAUUCCACAACAAAAUUAUUUGCCAGAGAACUACUAGCCACAGCUUAAAACUCAAAGGACUUGGCGGUACUUUAUAUCCAUCUAGAGGAGCCUGUUCUAUAAUCGAUACACCCCGCUUUACCUCACCAUCCCUUGCUAAUUCAGCCUAUAUACCGCCAUCUUCAGCAAUCCCUCAAAAGGAAUUAAAGUAGGCAAGAGAAUCAAACAUAAAAACGUUAGGUCAAGGUGUAGCCAAUGGGAUGGGAAGCAAUGGGCUACAUUUUCUUUUCAAGAACAUAACGCUAUCCUUCAUGAAACUGAAGGACAAAGGAGGAUUUAGUAGUAAAUUAAGAAUAGAGAGCUUAAUUGAAUAGAGCAAUGAAGUACGCACACACCGCCCGUCACCCUCCUCAAAUUAAAUAUACACUUAACUAUAAAUAAUUAUUAGUAAUAAAUUUAUCAGAGGAGAUAAGUCGUAACAAGGUAAGCAUACUGGAAAGUGUGCUUGGAAUAAU